This 377-nucleotide unclassified non-coding RNA is filed under the name uncultured Oligoflexales bacterium. Its description in RNAcentral is "contains 16S-23S intergenic spacer region". Lineage: Bacteria; Pseudomonadati; Bdellovibrionota; Oligoflexia; Oligoflexales. The record is from RNAcentral.
UCCGGUUUAACACCGGCGGUCUCCAUAGAGUGCCCAACUAAAUGAUGGCAACUAGGGAUAAGGGUUGCGCUCGUUAAGGGACUUAACCCGACAUCUCACGAUACGAGCUGACGACAGCCAUGCAGCACCUGUCUCACUGCCUCCGAAGAGGAAGCCGUAUCUCUACGGCCGUCAGUGGAUGUCAAGUCCAGGUAAGGUUUUUCGCGUUGCAUCGAAUUAAACCACAUGCUCCACCGCUUGUGCGGGCCCCCGUCAAUUCCUUUGAGUUUUAAUCUUGCGACCGUACUUCCCAGGCGGGGUACUUAAUGCGUUUGCGUCGACACUGCAGGGGUCAAUUCCUGCAACAUCUAGUACCCAUCGUUUACAGCGUGGACUAC